GACGAACGCUGGCGGCGUGCUUAACACAUGCAAGUCGAACGGUGAAGCGCCUUCCUUUUUGGUGGGUGUGGAUGAGCGGCGAACGGGUGAGCAACACGUGAGUAACCUUCCCCCUUCUUCUGGAUAACCGCCCGAAAGGGUGGCUAACACGGGUAAUUCUGGGCCUGUUGCAUGAUGGGUGUGGGAAAGUCAUUGUUUCGGUGGGGGAGGUGCUCGCGGCCUAUCAGCUUGUGGGUGGGGUGAUGGCCUACCACGGCGAUGACGUGUAGCCGGCCUGAGAGGGUGAAUGGUCACACGGGGGCUGCGACACGGCCCAGACUGAUCCGGGAGUCAGCAGUGGGGAUUAUUGCACGAUGGGGGAAGGACUGUUGCAGCGGCGCCGCGUGAGGGAUGGAGGCCGUCGGGUUGAGAACGUCUUUCGCAAGGGAAGCAGGUCUGCCUGGUGUGUGGGUGGGUUGACGGUAGCUGGGUAAGAAGGGCCGGCUAACUACGUG
This 494-nucleotide ribosomal RNA is filed under the name uncultured bacterium. RNAcentral's name for it is "partial 16S ribosomal RNA". It matches the Rfam family "Bacterial small subunit ribosomal RNA", at positions 28 to 507 of the family's 1533-position model. The record is from RNAcentral.